RNAcentral lists this ribosomal RNA (253 nucleotides) under uncultured bacterium. RNAcentral's name for it is "partial 16S ribosomal RNA". It matches the Rfam family "Bacterial small subunit ribosomal RNA", at positions 524 to 776 of the family's 1533-position model. The record is from RNAcentral.
UACGAAGGGUGCAAACGUUGCUCGGAAUUAUUGGGCGUAAAGAGCUCGUAGGCGGCUUGUCGCGUCGAAUGUGAAAACUCGGGGCUCAACUCCGAGCUUGCAUUCGAUACGGGCAGGCUAGAGUUCGGUAGGGGAGACUGGAAUUCCUGGUGUAGCGGUGAAAUGCGCAGAUAUCAGGAGGAACACCGGUGGCGAAGGCGGGUCUCUGGGCCGAUACUGACGCUGAGGAGCGAAAGCGUGGGGAGCGAACAGG